This is a long non-coding RNA of Haliotis rubra (blacklip abalone), 262 nucleotides long. RefSeq lists it as uncharacterized. The transcript has 4 exons. The record is from RefSeq and is a predicted model, not a curated record. NCBI's taxonomy places the organism in Eukaryota, Metazoa, Mollusca, Gastropoda, Lepetellida, Haliotidae.
UCAAGGUCGUUUCCGUGCGCGUGGUGACAUUGUGACUGAAACGGCAUACGACAAUAUAAAUUUUACGUGUGUUCAUCAGCUGAUUACCUUUAAUACAAUUUUUUAAACCGACAACUUCUAAUUGAUUGAUCAUUUGACAGGACCAAAUGGCAUCAAAAGGAAAUAACCAGAUGGCACAACUUUUAGCUAAGCCAGGAUCAUCAGGCCAGCUGCCCCGGCUACCACCACGACCAGGCAAAACAGGACCUUUCAACAUCACGGC